CCUACGGGAGGCAGCAGUGGGGAAUCUUGGGCAAUGGGCGAAAGCCUGACCCAGCAACGCCGCGUGAAGGAAGGAGGCUUUCGGGUUGUAAACUUCUUUUGACAGGGAAGAGCAGAAGACAGUACCUGUCGAAUAAGCCACGGCUAACUACGUGCCAGCAGCCGCGGUAAUACGUAGGUGGCAAGCGUUGUCCGGAUUUACUGGGUGUAAAGGGCGUGUAGCCGGGCUGACAAGUCAGUUGUGAAAUACGGGGGCUCAACCCCCGAACGGCAUUUGAAACUGUUGGUCUUGAGUAUCGGAGAGGCAGGCGGAAUUCCUAGUGUAGCGGUGAAAUGCGUAGAUAUUAGGAGGAACACCAGUGGCGAAGGCGGCCUGCUGGACGACAACUGACGGUGAGGCGCGAAAGCGUGGGGAGCAAACAGGAUUAGAUACCCUUGUAGUC
This 442-nucleotide ribosomal RNA is filed under the name uncultured bacterium. RNAcentral's name for it is "partial 16S ribosomal RNA". It matches the Rfam family "Bacterial small subunit ribosomal RNA", at positions 338 to 795 of the family's 1533-position model. The record is from RNAcentral.